This 72-nucleotide transfer RNA is filed under the name Minisyncoccota bacterium. Its description in RNAcentral is "tRNA-Arg". It matches the Rfam family "tRNA". From Rfam's summary of the family: Transfer RNA (tRNA) molecules are approximately 80 nucleotides in length. Their secondary structure includes four short double-helical elements and three loops (D, anti-codon, and T loops). The record is from RNAcentral. Lineage: Bacteria; Bacillati; Minisyncoccota.
GCUCUCGUAGUGAAAUGGAUAUCACGACAGGCUUCGAACCUGUUAUUCUAGGUUCAAAUCCUAGCGAGAGCA